This is a long non-coding RNA of Amphibalanus amphitrite, 1000 nucleotides long. RefSeq lists it as uncharacterized. The transcript is spliced from 3 exons. The record is from RefSeq and is a predicted model, not a curated record. Lineage: Eukaryota; Metazoa; Arthropoda; Thecostraca; Balanomorpha; Balanidae.
UAGUGGUGCCCUUUGUCCGAUACACCUACGCGAAGUGGUGCCCGUUUGCAUAGUGGUGCCCGAAAAUCGGGCACCACUAUGCUGAGCAUCACAACGCCUUCCUUAUGUCGUAAUAUAACGUCUGUAUAAAUAUCAGAUGGGCCCCUUUUUACUGGAUUUUGCCAUAAAGAGUGUGACUCAAGGUCACGUGACUUCCCUCGCGUUCACACAAAUCCGCCGGGCAUUUCAGCUUUCUGCUGUGCCAUAUUGAUGACGUAUGAAAGAGAUGGUACUUUGUGAUGAUGGAAUGGCAGACAAUCCCAGGUCGAUGUCCGUACUCUCACGUCCGUCCGCGAGUUGUCGCGCGGUCCACCAGGGAGAGGUGGCAAGCAGACUGUCCAACUGGCUGGUACUGCAUCGUUAUAGGGGACCGCUGGUCCGAGCCGCUACCAGGGAGGAGGCUGUUGACACUCAUCAGCUCUGGUCGGGCCACUGGGGAUGAUCGGAGCAGUAUCUUCACCGGAUUGAGAGAUCAAUGUCCGAGUUCGCCUAAUGUAACGACAAUGAAUGCCAAGCUGGCCGCUGCUUGGUCUGCGGUGAAGCAGUGGACACCUAAGCGCACGUGUUGCCGGAGUGUCCGUGCUUUUACGGGCCUCGGCUGUGUGCGCUAUGGAACAUCGUCGGCGCGGCCCUCGAUGUCAAGCGCGACGACGUGGUGGUGACCUUAGCCGCCGGCUACGAGGCCCGCAAGAGGCUUGUAUUGGCUACGGCGGUAGCUGUGGGGACACAGCAACAACGACAUCAACAGCUGGCGGCGGAAGUGGCCCCGGAGCUACGCACCUGCGGACAGAGCUACCGCUGAUCCACAUCUCAGCUGAUGAUGCUCAACAGACGGAGAGACUGAGGCGCUGGACAGCGAGUCUGUCUGUGGUUGUGCUGAAGACGGCGUCGGACGACCAUCAGUUCCGGCUGGCGAAUCUAGCCAGCUCCGACCCCGUCCAGCUGCCCGACGAGUGCUUAC